Molecule: long non-coding RNA, 322 nt
Organism: Spea bombifrons (plains spadefoot toad)
Lineage: Eukaryota; Metazoa; Chordata; Amphibia; Anura; Pelobatidae
Exons: 2
Source: RefSeq, a predicted model, not a curated record
AUAAAACCAUAUCCUUAAAACAAUUCUAGGGCAGAGUUCAACGUGUGGAGCAAUCAGCAAAGACAUUGAUUCCUGAUUCCUAGUAUAGUUGUCUAUGUACUGAGAGGGUGGUAGUUAAGUGGAAGAGCCUCCUAGCAGAAGUAAUAGAGGUGAACAGGGUGUUGCUCAAUGUAUCUUCCUCAAGUCAACAGCAAUAACAGAGAUGAGGCAAGAAAUCAGGAAGAUGGCAACACGCCUGAUGCUGACAGUUUAAUUUUGCCCUUUAUUUACUAUCACAAUUUAUCUAAAUUUACAAAUAAAAUAUAAGGAAGUUUAUUUCAAA